Molecule: ribosomal RNA, 252 nt
Filed under: uncultured bacterium
Lineage: Bacteria
Description: partial 16S ribosomal RNA
Rfam family: Bacterial small subunit ribosomal RNA
Source: RNAcentral
UACGUAGGAUGCGAGCGUUGUCCGGAAUUAUUGGGCGUAAAGAGAACGUAGGCGGUUUCUUAAGUUUGGGCUUAAAGACCGGGGCUCAACCCCGGGAAUGGCUCGAAAACUGGGAGACUGGAGGAUGUCAGAGGAAAGUGGAAUUCCGAGUGUAGCGGUGAAAUGCGUAGAUAUUCGGAGGAACACCAGUGGCGAAAGCGACUUCUGGGACAUUCCUGACGCUGAGGUUCGAAAGCUCGGGGAGCAAACAGG